Molecule: unclassified non-coding RNA, 328 nt
Filed under: soil metagenome
Description: partial contains 5.8S ribosomal RNA, internal transcribed spacer 2, and large subunit ribosomal RNA
Rfam family: 5.8S ribosomal RNA (bases 1-120)
Source: RNAcentral
GAUGAAGAACGUAGCGAAAUGCGAUAAUUAAUGUGAAUUGCAGAAUUCAGUGAAUCAUCGAAUCUUUGAACGCACAUUGCGCCCCCUGGUAUUCCGGGGGGCAUGCCUGUUCGAGCGUCAUUUCAACCCUCAAGCUCUGCUUGGUAUUGAGUCCAUGUCAGCAAUGGCAGGCUCCAAAAUCAGUGGCGGCGCCGCUGGGUCCUGAACGUAGUAAUAUCUCUCGUUACAGGUGCUCGGCGUGCUUCUGCCAAAACCCCAAUUUUUCUAUGGUUGACCUCGGAUCAGGUAGGGAUACCCGCUGAACUUAAGCAUAUCAAUAAGCGGAGGA